AUGUUGCUGUGGAUUGGA
RNAcentral lists this microRNA (18 nucleotides) under Monodelphis domestica (gray short-tailed opossum). RNAcentral describes it as "mdo-miR-7282-3p". Lineage: Eukaryota; Metazoa; Chordata; Mammalia; Didelphimorphia; Didelphidae. The record is from miRBase by way of RNAcentral.